This is an RNA transcript of Oreochromis aureus, 5987 nucleotides long. It is a transcript of the gene named BAR/IMD domain containing adaptor protein 2b, with no coding region annotated. NCBI's taxonomy places the organism in Eukaryota, Metazoa, Chordata, Actinopteri, Cichliformes, Cichlidae. The record is from RefSeq and is a predicted model, not a curated record. The transcript has 15 exons.
UACUCUAUUUCCCACCGCCCUUGAAAGCAGCACCGCCCCUCUCAGAGUGAGUCCGCCUCUGCGCUCCAACCGAGAGGCACCGACUGACUGACUGGCUGCGUGGGGAGCCGGUGUGGGCGAAGCGGAGGACUUUCCUAUAAAAGCAGGGAUCCCACGACCAGACGCGCUCUUCUCUCUCAGUGAACGGCAGACAGGAGCCGCUCUUCCCCGCGAACAGCUGUUUCAUUCCCCCUGUUACAGUUCGGAAAACCCUCCCAGCCUCAUCCAAAAGGAAAUCUUAGUCUAUGGUUCUGACUGACACGCCUACAAGGAUGUCCCGGACCGACGAGGUGCACCGUAUAACGGAGAAUGUCUACAAGUCCAUCAUGGAGCAGUUUAACCCGUGCUUACGGAACUUCAUAGCCAUGGCAAAAAGCUAUGAGAAGGCGCUCACCAGUGUCACAUAUGCUGCAAAGGGCUACUUCGACGCUCUGGUGCGGAUGGGCGAGAUGGCCAGCGAAAGUCAAGGCUCUAAGGAUCUUGGGGAUGUGCUCUUUCAGAUGGCUGAAGUGCACAGACAGAUCCAGAUCCAGCUUGAGGAGAUGCUGAAGUCGUUCCACAACGAGCUGCUCACAGAGCUGGAGAAGAAGGUCGAGCUGGACGCGCGAUACCUGAAUGCUGCACUGAAGAAGUACCAGAUGGAGCACAAGAGCAAAGGGGAGAGUUUGGAGAAGUGCCAGGCAGAGCUAAAGAAACUGCGCCGGAAGAGCCAGGGCAGCAAGCACCCGUCCAAAUAUGGGGACAAGGAGAUGCAGUAUGUGGAGGCCAUCAGUAAUAAGCAGAGUGAGUUGGAUAACUACAUCGCUGAGGGCUACAAGAACGCUCUGUCUGAGGAGAGGAGGAGGUACUGCUUCCUGGUGGACCGUCAGUGUGCCGUGGCCAAAAACAGCAGCGUCUACCACAACAAGGGGAAGGAGCUUUUAACUCAGAAGAUCCCACUGUGGCAGCAGGCUUGUGCCGAGCCCAACAAACUGCCAGACCGUGCCAUGUUUCUGGCCCAGCAGAUGAGCGGUGCAACGGGCACCAUGCCUCCUGGUGCUCAUCACCCAGGCCUGCCCAUCUCUGAGCCUAUUCCUGGUGCUAAACCCCUGCCAGUGCCUCCAGAGCUGGCAGCCCUCAGGGCCAGCGGUGGCAUGGGACAGCAGAGGCUGAUGGGAGGUGUGGAAGGAGGGAUGCCUGUGAUGAAUGGUACAGCCGGCGUUCAUGGAGGAGAAGACUACCAGCAGUGGAUGGAGGGCAAAAUCGCCCAGGGCAAAGCCUCACCGCAGACUCAGCGGCACGGAGGCGAGGUGUACUCCAACACCCUACCUGUGCGCAAGGCCGCGCCAGCCAAGAGCAAGACCACACUGACAGAGACCCGCACGCUGCCCCGGUCCAGCUCCAUGGCAGCAGGUCUGGAGAGAAACGGAAGAACUCGUGUCCAGGCCGUCUUCUCCCAUGCUGCCGGUGACAACAGCACGCUGCUCAGCUUCGCAGAGGGCGACGUGAUUACCCUGCUGGUACCCGAGGCCCGUGAUGGUUGGCACUAUGGAGAGAAUGAGAAGACAAGGAUGCGUGGCUGGUUUCCCUUCUCCUACACACGGGUGAUCACUGAUGGCGAAGGAGACUCUAUGCGGCAACUUCGAGUACACAAUCUCCACCAUGGUAAAAGCAGCAGCACAGGCAACCUUCUAGAGAGAGAAGACAUGGCUCUCCCCGUCCCUGAUUACGGCAUCCACUCCCGUAUGGCAGCACAGAGCGCUGCUGCGCUGCACGGCAGACAACAACGCCCCUACAGCGUGGCGGUGCCAGGCUUUUCACAGCAGGGAGUCGAAGAGUAUGAGCCCCGCUUCCCUACGAGUUCCACAGAGGGCAAAUUGAUUUCGACAGUGUGAGGACAGACAGACAAACAGGCACAGACUCAGCCACACGAUAGGACAUGCACCUCGCUGCCCAUCUGUCAUCCUUAACCCACCCUCUUUCCCGCCUCCCUACCUCCUUUUCACGACAAUAAACUCUCCCCAAGCCGGUCAGUUCGAGGAAGACGCUUGGGUCUCUUUCUUUUCCUCCCUCUGAUCUCCCUCCCUUCGUCCUUCAGUCCUGCCCUGUGCUGUCUAACUGGCCAGUAGCCACACUGGGCCACUGGUGGAGCUUUGGUGCAGAGCCAAGCCAAAACCAGAACAAAGUGGACUCUGUGCCAUCUGCAUAUUCAAAAUCAGUGUGAUGGACAUUUUCUGUGAGGAAAAUGUAACCUUUGCUUGUCUUUCAUGCAUGUACAUUUCUUUUAUAUAUUGCUGGGAAUUAUAUUUUCCCAAUGAAGGAACCUGAUUUUCACUAAUGUCAGUGCUCUCAGAUAGAAUGACAGUGUAAAGAAUGAUAUGUAAAUCAGGGUGUAAUCUUAAAGUGGUUGAUCCCAAAGAGGAUUUUUAUAUUAUGUAAAAAUGACAUUGCAAUCAAUGCUUUUACUGGAUCUUUCAGUAUUUAACAAUAAUUUUACCUUUUCAUGCUGUGAGGUUUUGUAUUCCUCUGACAUAAGAGGCCAUGUAUCGCGAGUAGUGAACAGCUCAUGUAAAUGUUUUCACACAUGAAACGUGGGGGAAAAAAAAGUGUGAUGGGAAUGUUUACUGUACAUAAAUGUGCCAUACAGAAGUGCUUGUCAUGCAGUAUCUAUGAUCAGUUUAUAAAAAAAUGCACCUUAUGGAAAUAAUAGUCUAUAUUUCUGACUGUGUGUAAACAAACUUACUGUAACGUUUUCAGUGUGAGCCUUUGCGCUUGGAUGGACACACAAACACACCACUCUUGGGUCCUUUGACUGUCUGUUGUGGUGCCUGAAUAUUGUGCCAAGGCUGAAUGGGGUCAACUAACUCUCGUCCCCGAGAGAUUACGCGAGGCUCUGAGUCGGGUUUAGUGCUGAAACUGUUUGUUCGUUAGUCAGUUAACUGAUGUGUUGUGCCGAUUAAAUGUUUGAAAUAACUUAUCAGGCUCAAAUGCCAAAUAUUUGUUGGCUUUGGGUUCUCAAAUACAGACAUUUGCUGCUUUUCUCUGUUUUUUAUAUGACUGAAAAUUAAAUAUAUUUGGUUUUUGAGCUCAAUAGAAAGAUAUCACUUUGACAUCACCAGUUAAAAAAAGUUGGAGGCAAACUCUGGUUCAUGCAUGAAAGAAAAGACAACUGGUAUUGCGGCGCUGCUCGGUACACGUGAUACUGAAACCGUUUUUAAUUUAUUUUUAUCAUAAAUAAAAGAAACAGGAAUACAGUUCAUUUAAAAGAUUCAAAGUCUUUUCUACUUUCAAAAAUAUUCACAUGUGGUGCUUCUGCUGUCGAUUAACUUCUGUGAUUAAUGUCGUUUUAUGGGAACUUAAGACUUCACAUGAAGCUUCAGCUGUAUUGUGAUUAUUAGAAAAAAAACCUACACUGGCUACAGAGUGGUGUUUAUACUGUGCUGCAUUUAUCCAAUGUACAGACUAAAGGCACAGCCGCUCUGCAGCUUUGAAGGGGAGAGGAGUUAAUUUGUGGUUGAAGCCUCAUUCAGCCUUCUUGUACUGCUGUCUCUGCGACUAAAAGCCUGAUUUGUUUAUUUUCUCCAAACCUCAGUGAGUAAAGAAUGUCGUGUUUUAACAACGGCAAGAGAAGUGUUUGUCUGAUUCUUUGUGUGCUCAAUAAAAAUACCGGUGUGCUUGUCUGUAUGUCGGCCCAGUUAGUGCCUGUCUGUACUAACCACUGUCCCUUUGUUGACAUCUGGUGUCCACGAGCUUGCCCGCUGGGAAGUGAGGUUUUUUUAACUCGUAGGUUCGGCAUCUGACUCGUACGAGGCUUUUACUGAAAUCUCGUCUGAGUGCUUUCUUCACCAAAGAGAGGAGGUUAAAAAUGAAACUGUGCAUCUCUCCCAUUCCUCCUACACUGCAAAAAAUGCUUGUCUUUUACUAAAUUGUUAAUGAGGGAAAUUGUUUGAAGAGUCUUGCAAUAUAUUUUUCUGCAAGUAUGUGCAAAAGUAAUGCACAUGCAUUAAAAAAACAACAACUUUCAAGUGCUGCUUUUCUGAUCUGCCACUUAUAGACAGAAAAAUAUUUUCAGACUCUACCUGAGACCUAACACGGACCUUUUUUUGCACUGUAGAAAUGUUCUCCUUGCUGCAUAAGUCUGCUGUCUCUGUGCUUUCUUCUCCUUCUCCUCUCCGUUUGUCUGUCACCUAACGCUCGUCUUCCCCCUUAGCUUUGCCAACCCCCCCGUCUUUUUUCAUCUCUGUUUUGAUGAAUUUAGAGACAAAAGUCGAGUGCAAACGACUGGAAGCUGCCAGUGUUUCUUCUUUCUCCACUAAAAUAGUCCAAGGUAUGGCUGACAUCGCUGCAGAGAUAGCACACCAAUCACCUGUGGCUAAUAACGCCAGCAUUCACUGAUGUGCUCUGAUUGUGAGGGGUUUUGUUGUAAAAGAGUUACAAGAAAAAGCAUCUAAAUAUUGUAUAGAGAAUUUAUGGAUAUGCAUGCUUUGGGGGCACCAAAAAGUGUAACACUGAUGACCUCAAAUGUAUGGUGAAUUUCUACUCUUACAAAGUAUUAAAUAAAUUUAUUCAGCUGGAUAUUUUUAUUGUUUCUGUUCGUUUUUUCCCUGAAGGCUUUGGUGUACAUGAUGAAACUUUUAGAAUACACCAUUUGAAGAAGUUUUUAAUUAGCCUUCAAGUGACAAAUUAGCUCGUAAAACCAAUGAACUUUCAUUGACAGGCAGCAUUUCAACUCUCGAUUCUGGCUUUAAGUUUGUGGCUGAAUAAACUUUAGUCACCACAUCUUUUCUCACAGCUAACAAACUGGGGAUCGUCCUCAUGCUUUAACACAUUAACAAGCGGCUCUUCUUGCACAUUUGACAUCACCACUCAUGUCAACAUUUCUGGAACCGAGACCCAUCAUAACCUCCCACCGGGCUUGUUGCAUGUACAGUGUGUGUGUGUUCUGUGCACAGUAGUACUUACACUGCAUCCUGACCUGCCAUACACCCACUGGCCUGCUCUUCCUGCUGCUAGCAAAGGUACUUUUUUCAACUCAACUGUGUGUGAGUGUGUGUAUGUUUGUGUAUUGUGCUCAACACAGUGUGUUCAUUUUUAGUGUUUUUUAAUUUUUGUAGUUGUUUUGCUUCACUGUGUUGUGGGUUCACACGCCUGUUUGCCUGUUUUUAUUUAAUCUUUAUUUUUCCCCCAUAUGACACACGUGAAUAUGUAUUGGUCAUAAUUUAAAUGUAAACAGUCUCAGUGAAUUUGUGGAGUUCUGAUCUGUUUUUUUGGUCAUAUUUUCAAUUUAAUCUAAGUAAAUGAUGUAAAUAAUUUUGGCUAAUUUAGUAAUAUUAAACACGAUCUUUACUGAGUUUGACUGGCAGCCUCAGCAGAUGCUGUGUUUAAUGUGGUGCUGAUGUUGGUGAAAAAAUCCUUCUUAACCUUUGGCUCAGUAAAAGUACAGCAGUGAGAUCAUAAUGGAAAACUGUAUGCACUGAAUAUAAAGUGCUUUUCAGAGCAGUCAUUUAAAAGUCUCACAGUGUUAUCACUGCAUAUAUCUGGCACUGUAUUACAGAUAAUAGUGUGGAAAAAAUCAAACAAAAGGAGCAAUAGUACCUUCUAAAUACAGGCUCCAGUCAUCUCAGUCUUGGUCUGUUUUCCCUUUUAAUACCUUUAAUGAUACCUUGUAUUAACAGGAAAUCAAAUAUAUACACCAUAUAAUGUGCAGCCAUGUUAGGAGGAAGUUGUGUGUAGUAAUUUAUUUCCCUGUCUCAUGUUGGAAGAUGUGAGUUGGUAUUUGAUCCUGACUGUUGACACAUGGGGACUGUUUCUGCCUUUCAGUACAGGGCCUGAUUACGCCCGCUUUUGAGUGACCAAAGCCCAUCCGAUGAUCCACCAUGCGAGCCGGCCGUGGAGGCACCUGCCAAACCGCCCCUCUCCGACGAUGAGGAUGAAAUUGAGGAGGACCACUUUGAUGAAGCUCACUAUGA